Molecule: ribosomal RNA, 505 nt
Filed under: uncultured bacterium
Lineage: Bacteria
Description: partial 16S ribosomal RNA
Rfam family: Bacterial small subunit ribosomal RNA
Source: RNAcentral
GACGAACGCUGGCGGCGUGCCUAAUACAUGCAAGUAGAACGCACAGUUUAUACCGUAGCUUGCUACACCAUAGACUGUGAGUUGCGAACGGGUGAGUAACGCGUAGGUAACCUGCCUGGUAGCGGGGGAUAACUAUUGGAAACGAUAGCUAAUACCGCAUAAUAUUAAUUAUUGCAUGAUAAUUAAUUGAAAGGUGCAAUUGCACCACUACCAGAUGGACCUGCGUUGUAUUAGCUAGUAGGUGAGGUAACGGCGCACCUAGGCGACGAUACAUAGCCGACCUUGGAGGGGGAUCGGCCACACUGGGACUGAGACACGGCCCAGACUCCCACGGGAGGCAGCAGUAGGGAAUCUUCGGCAAUGGACGAAAGUCUGACCGGGCAACGCCGCGUGAGUGAAGAAGGUUUUCGGAUCGUAAAGCUCUGUUGUAAGAGAAGAACGGGUGUGAGAGUGGAAAGUUCACACUGUGACGGUAUCUUACCAGAAAGGGACGGCUAACUACGUG